GGGGGCCAGGGGCCAGGGGGGAGGACCUAAUAAGGGGGGGACCUAAGGUCCUCCCCCCUGGCCCCUGGCCCCCUGGCCUCAGGC
RNAcentral lists this microRNA precursor (84 nucleotides) under Pelobates cultripes (western spadefoot toad). The record is from RNAcentral. Lineage: Eukaryota; Metazoa; Chordata; Amphibia; Anura; Pelobatidae.